Molecule: ribosomal RNA, 535 nt
Filed under: uncultured bacterium
Lineage: Bacteria
Description: bacterial SSU rRNA
Rfam family: Bacterial small subunit ribosomal RNA
Source: RNAcentral
AGUAAAUAGAUACCCGGGUAGUCCACGCCGUAAACGAUGUCGACUUGGAGGUUGUGCCCUUGAGGCGUGGCUUCCGGAGCUAAACGCGUUAAAGUCGACCGCCUGGGGAGUACGGCCGCAAGGUUAAACUCAAAUGAAUUGACGGGGCCCGCACAAGCGGUGGAGCAUGUGGUUUAAUUCGAUGCAACGCGAAGAACCUUACCUACUCUUGACAUCCAGAGAAUUUAGCAGAGAUGCUUUGGUGCCUUCGGGAACUCUGAGACAGGUGCUGCAUGGCUGUCGUUAGCUCGUGUUGUGAAAUGUUGGGUUAAGUCCCGCAACGAGCGCAACCCUUAUCCUUUGUUGCCAGCGGUUAGGCCGGGAACUCAAAGGAGACUGCCAGUGAUAAACUGGAGGAAGGUGGGGAUGACGUCAAGUCAUCAUGGCCCUUACGAGUAGGGCUACACACGUGCUACAAUGGCGCAUACAAAGAGAAGCGACCUCGCGAGAGCAAGCGGACCUCAUAAAGUGCGUCGUAGUCCGGAUUGGAGUCUGC